UGGCGAACGGGUGAGUAAUACGUGAGUAACCUGCCCUUGACUCUGGGAUAAGCCUGGGAAACUGGGUCUAAUACUGGAUACUACCUCUUACCGCAUGGUGGGUGGUGGAAAGGGUUUUACUGGUUUUGGAUGGGCUCACGGCCUAUCAGCUUGUUGGUGGGGUAAUGGCUCACCAAGGCGACGACGGGUAGCCGGCCUGAGAGGGUGACCGGCCACACUGGGACUGAAACACGGCCCAGACUCCUACGGGAGGCAGCAGUGGGGAAUAUUGCACAAUGGGCGGAAGCCUGAUGCAACGACGCCGCGUGAGGGAUGACGGCCUUCGGGUUGUAAACCUCUUUCAGUAGGGAAGAAGCGAGAGUGACGGUACCUGCAGAAGAAGCGCCGGCUAACUACGUGCCAGCAGCCGCGGUAAUACGUAGGGCGCAAGCGUUGUCCGGAAUUAUUGGGCGUAAAGAGCUCGUAGGCGGUUUGUCGCGUCUGCUGUGAAAGCCCGGGGCUCAACCCCGGGUCUGCAGUGGGUACGGGCAGACUAGAGUGCAGUAGGGGAGACUGGAAUUCCUGGUGUAGCGGUGAAAUGCGCAGAUAUCAGGAGGAACACCGAUGGCGAAGGCAGGUCUCUGGGCUGUUACUGACGCUGAGGAGCGAAAGCAUGGGGAGCGAACAGGAUUAGAUACCCUGGUAGUCCAUGCCGUAAACGUUGGGCACUAGGUGUGGGGGACAUUCCACGUUUUCCGCGCCGUAGCUAACGCAUUAAGUGCCCCGCCUGGGGAGUACGGCCGCAAGGCUAAAACUCAAAGGAAUUGACGGGGGCCCGCACAAGCGGCGGAGCAUGCGGAUUAAUUCGAUGCAACGCGAAGAACCUUACCAAGGCUUGACAUUCACCGGACCGCCCCAGAGAUGGGGUUUCCCUUCGGGGCUGGUGGACAGGUGGUGCAUGGUUGUCGUCAGCUCGUGUCGUGAGAUGUUGGGUUAAGUCCCGCAACGAGCGCAACCCUCGUUCUAUGUUGCCAGCACGUGAUGGUGGGGACUCAUAGGAGACUGCCGGGGUCAACUCGGAGGAAGGUGGGGAUGACGUCAAAUCAUCAUGCCCCUUAUGUCUUGGGCUUCACGCAUGCUACAAUGGCCGGUACAAAGGGUUGCGAUACUGUGAGGUGGAGCUAAUCCCAAAAAGCCGGUCUCAGUUCGGAUUGAGGUCUGCAACUCGACCUCAUGAAGUCGGAGUCGCUAGUAAUCGCAGAUCAGCAACGCUGCGGUGAAUACGUUCCCGGGCCUUGUACACACCGCCCGUCAAGUCACGAAAGUUGGUAACACCCGAAGCCG
This 1323-nucleotide ribosomal RNA is filed under the name Kocuria rosea. Its description in RNAcentral is "bacterial SSU rRNA". It matches the Rfam family "Bacterial small subunit ribosomal RNA", at positions 96 to 1429 of the family's 1533-position model. The record is from RNAcentral. Lineage: Bacteria; Bacillati; Actinomycetota; Actinomycetes; Micrococcales; Micrococcaceae.